AACGAACGCUGGCGGCGCGCCUAAUACAUGCAAGUCGAGCGAGAAGACGUAGCAAUACGUUUGUAAAGCGGCGAACGGGUGAGGAAUACAUGGGUAACCUACCCUCGAGUGGGGAAUAACUAGCCGAAAGGUUAGCUAAUACCGCGUACGCUCCUUGGACUUCGGUUCAGGGAGGAAAGCGAUACCGUGGGUAUCGCGCUCUUGGAUGGGCUCAUGUCCUAUCAGCUUGUUGGUGAGGUAACGGCUCACCAAGGCUUCGACGGGUAGCUGGUCUGAGAGGACGAUCAGCCACACUGGCACUGCGACACGGGCCAGACUCCUACGGGAGCAGCAGUAAGGAAUAUUGCGCAAUGGGCGAAAGCCUGACCCAGCAACGCCGCGUGAAGGAUGAAAUCCCUCGGGAUGUAAACUUCGCAAGAAUAGGAAGAAUUAGUAGGGGCUAAUACCCUCUAUGAUGACGGUACUAUUUGUAAGCUCCGGCUAACUCCGUGCCAGCAGCCGCA
This 503-nucleotide ribosomal RNA is filed under the name uncultured bacterium. RNAcentral describes it as "bacterial SSU rRNA". It matches the Rfam family "Bacterial small subunit ribosomal RNA", at positions 29 to 519 of the family's 1533-position model. The record is from RNAcentral.